This 1396-nucleotide long non-coding RNA is filed under the name Volvox carteri. Its description in RNAcentral is "long non-coding RNA (VCAR_LNC001435)". The record is from RNAcentral. Lineage: Eukaryota; Viridiplantae; Chlorophyta; Chlorophyceae; Chlamydomonadales; Volvocaceae.
CGACAGUUUUAGGCACCAGACAAGGCAUUCCAGAAAGUGAGAGGUGCGUGAAAAUGUUGACAACCAGUGGAGAUCCCGGAAUACCGCAGAAGCACUGCAUUUGAGAUGCGUGGCUAACGAGAUUACACAUACCCCGCUCCGUAAGACAGCCCCAGGCUAAGAGGGGCGGUCACGGCAUCCCAAACGUCAGUUCACUGUACAACUAGAGUGGGCAGCAUGGUGUUGCCACGUGCCAGUUGCGCACGGCGAUAUAGUAGUCCUCCGCACGGCUGCCGACGGCUACUGAGCACCGCAGGGCAACCUUCACAAUUGGCAAAUUAGACUACAUUUUUCUCCUUUCCUUUCAUCAAAAAGUCAAAUAAUAAGCGCUAAUCCGGAGAAGCUAAGCAAACGCGUGCGUACCACGUCGUUCAACAAAAAAACGCGUCUAUAUACGUAAUGCUCUCAAGACAUAUGCGCAGACCAACGCUCUCAAAGCGGACAUAGCGAGAACACCAGUCCAAUUACUGAAGAAAUCUUAUGUUCGUUAUGUACCGAAGAGAUGGCAUGCACGCAGCACAGCCGCAGUCUUCCAUGCGUUUUUGAAGGCCCACCGAAAGGCUCGAGCACUGAGUGCUCACCCUCAGUGUCUCGAGGAGUCCGAGCACCAUUUCAUGAGCUUGUUCCAGCUAGCACCAUGUGCUCUUCCGCCACAGACGUCAUUAAGCACAAGCCGACAUCAUGCAGCCCACCUCCGCCCUUCAGAACUAGGCGGAGGAAGAAAUUGUCCCAUAUUUCGGGGCAACUAACGGUCAGCCGCAAAGCCGCUACUUAUUUGCUGCUAUGACGUCAUAUAUGCAUACCUGCUGCUUGCUACUGCCGCAACCGCUCAAACACAAGCCUGCAUACAGCAACCGAACGACACCACUUUGGGCGGGGUAUUAUUUGGCAGAUCGCCUAUUCGCCAAAAAUCUUGCCAUAGACGGUGCAUAGCAUAUCCAACAGUAAGAAGUCCAUAGCGUCGCGUUGGCCGAGCCAGCUUUUUCCUUCCGCGGCUGCUUUUUCUCUCCGUGCCAGCUGAACCUCGGCUAACGCUCGACAAACUGCAGCUGCUUCUCCUUUAUCCGUGUCGCCUGCGAUGCAACCCCGUAUUCCCAUGGGAGCGUCAAGCAACAGUCAUGCCUUGGCAUGUGACAUCCAGACCAGACGAGGUGAUAUCCAACGAGAUGAGUACUGCAAACCAGCACAUGGCUUGAACAUCGCCACUAUAUAGGACAACACCAAAAGACACCAUGAACCUGGGAGCAUGUGCGCGCGUGAGACGCGCAAAGGGGCAACCGACUGACCUCAAGAAUCACGGCAUCCGCGGACACCACAACCGCGCUUUCGCCUGGCGUGCACGCUAUCCCAGUUUCCC